RNAcentral lists this ribosomal RNA (228 nucleotides) under uncultured bacterium. RNAcentral describes it as "partial 16S ribosomal RNA". It matches the Rfam family "Bacterial small subunit ribosomal RNA", at positions 568 to 795 of the family's 1533-position model. The record is from RNAcentral.
UACGUAGGCGGAAAAUUAAGUCAGUAGUGAAAUCCUGCAGCUUAACUGUAGAACUGUUAUUGAUACUGGUUUUCUUGAAUAUAGUUGAGGUAGGCGGAAUGUGUAAUGUAGCGGUGAAAUGCUUAGAUAUUACACAGAACACCGAUUGCGAAGGCAGCUUACUAAGCUAUGAUUGACGCUGAGGUACGAAAGCGUGGGGAGCGAACAGGAUUAGAUACCCUGGUGGUC